This 1372-nucleotide ribosomal RNA is filed under the name uncultured bacterium. RNAcentral's name for it is "bacterial SSU rRNA". It matches the Rfam family "Bacterial small subunit ribosomal RNA", at positions 28 to 1381 of the family's 1533-position model. The record is from RNAcentral.
GAUGAACGCUGGCGGCGUGCCUAAUACAUGCAAGUCGAGCGAACGGACGAGAAGCUUGCUUUUCUGAUGUUAGCGGCGGACGGGUGAGUAACACGUGGAUAACCUACCUAUAAGACUGGGAUAACUUCGGGAAACCGGAGCUAAUACCGGAUAAUAUUUUGAACCGCAUGGUUCAAAAGUGAAAGACGGUCUUGCUGUCACUUAUAGAUGGAUCCGCGCUGCAUUAGCUAGUUGGUAAGGUAACGGCUUACCAAGGCAACGAUGCAUAGCCGACCUGAGAGGGUGAUCGGCCACACUGGAACUGAGACACGGUCCAGACUCCUACGGGAGGCAGCAGUAGGGAAUCUUCCGCAAUGGGCGAAAGCCUGACGGAGCAACGCCGCGUGAGUGAUGAAGGUCUUCGGAUCGUAAAACUCUGUUAUUAGGGAAGAACAUAUGUGUAAGUAACUGUGCACAUCUUGACGGUACCUAAUCAGAAAGCCACGGCUAACUACGUGCCAGCAGCCGCGGUAAUACGUAGGUGGCAAGCGUUAUCCGGAAUUAUUGGGCGUAAAGCGCGCGUAGGCGGUUUUUUAAGUCUGAUGUGAAAGCCCACGGCUCAACCGUGGGGGGUCAUUGGAAACUGGAAAACUUGAGUGCAGAAGAGGAAAGUGGAAUUCCAUGUGUAGCGGUGAAAUGCGCAGAGAUAUGGAGGAACACCAGUGGCGAAGGCGACUUUCUGGUCUGUAACUGACGCUGAUGUGCGAAAGCGUGGGGAUCAAACAGGAUUAGAUACCCUGGUAGUCCACGCCGUAAACGAUGAGUGCUAAGUGUUAGGGGGUUUCCGCCCCUUAGUGCUGCAGCUAACGCAUUAAGCACUCCGCCUGGGGAGUACGACCGCAAGGUUGAAACUCAAAGGAAUUGACGGGGACCCGCACAAGCGGUGGAGCAUGUGGUUUAAUUCGAAGCAACGCGAAGAACCUUACCAAAUCUUGACAUCCUUUGACAACUCUAGAGAUAGAGCCUUCCCCUUCGGGGGACAAAGUGACAGGUGGUGCAUGGUUGUCGUCAGCUCGUGUCGUGAGAUGUUGGGUUAAGUCCCGCAACGAGCGCAACCCUUAAGCUUAGUUGCCAUCAUUAAGUUGGGCACUCUAAGUUGACUGCCGGUGACAAACCGGAGGAAGGUGGGGAUGACGUCAAAUCAUCAUGCCCCUUAUGAUUUGGGCUACACACGUGCUACAAUGGACAAUACAAAGGGCAGCGAAACCGCGAGGUCAAGCAAAUCCCAUAAAGUUGUUCUCAGUUCGGAUUGUAGUCUGCAACUCGACUACAUGAAGCUGGAAUCGCUAGUAAUCGUAGAUCAGCAUGCUACGGUGAAUACGUUCCCGGGUCU